RNAcentral lists this ribosomal RNA (527 nucleotides) under uncultured bacterium. RNAcentral's name for it is "bacterial SSU rRNA". It matches the Rfam family "Bacterial small subunit ribosomal RNA", at positions 19 to 518 of the family's 1533-position model. The record is from RNAcentral.
AUGGCUCAGGACGAACGCUGGCGGCGUGCCUAAUACAUGCAAGUCGAACGGUCUUUCUAUGGAAGCUUGCUUCCACUGAGAAGAUAGUGGCGAACGGGUGAGUAACACGUGGGUAACCUGCCCAUAAGAGGGGGGAUAACAUCCGGAAACGGGUGCUAAUACCGCAUAGUUUUCUUGAUCGCAUGAUUGGGAAAGGAAAGACGGCCUUUGUGCUGUCGCUUAUGGAUGGACCCGCGGCGUAUUAGUUAGUUGGUGAGGUAACGGCUCACCAAGACGAUGAUACGUAGCCGACCUGAGAGGGUGAUCGGCCACAUUGGGACUGAGACACGGCCCAAACUCCUACGGGAGGCAGCAGUAGGGAAUCUUCCGCAAUGGACGAAAGUCUGACGGAGCAACGCCGCGUGAGUGAAGAAAGGUUUUCGGAUCGUAAAACUCUGUUGUCAGAGAAGAACAAGUUGGAGAGUAACUGCUCCAGCCUUGACGGUAUCUGACCAGAAAGCCACGGCUAACUACGUGCCAGCAGCGGC